UACGGAGGGUGCAAGCAUUAAUCGGAUUCAUUGGGCGUAAAGGGGGCGCAGGCGGAUAUUUAAGCCAGAUGUGAAAUCCCGGGGCUCAACCCCGGAACUGCAUUUGGAACUACUUAUCUAGAGGAUAGGCGGAGAAAACGGAAUUCCACAUGUAGCGGUGAAAUGCGUAGAGAUGUGGAAGAACACCGGUGGCGAAGGCGGUUUUCUAGCUUAUUCCUGACGCUCAGGCCCGAAAGCUAGGGGAGCGAACAGG
RNAcentral lists this ribosomal RNA (253 nucleotides) under uncultured bacterium. RNAcentral's name for it is "partial 16S ribosomal RNA". It matches the Rfam family "Bacterial small subunit ribosomal RNA", at positions 524 to 776 of the family's 1533-position model. The record is from RNAcentral.